ACAAGGCAGAUGGGUUUUAUAGCUCUUGUCUCUUUUAUUUUUAAUUUGUAGUAUUGAAUAUAUUGAUGUGUGGCUGUGGGGAAGUCAAACGGUGCAGUUGUGAGAGGACCAUUGAGCUGAGGACAAGGCAUUUUUAUUUUUUAUUUUUUUAUUCCUUUUUUUUUGGAAUUGGUAGUUUGUGUACCUCCAUUUAUUGUUUGAUUCGAAUAUUCGAAAAUGCAUAUUUUAUUUUGAGUGGGAUGCCGAUUCUAUGGGUUAUUGUUUUGUUGUAACUAUGUUUGGUAGAACAACGGUUGUUAAUUUAUUUUGUACGUGGUUGACGGCGUAUUUAUG
RNAcentral lists this long non-coding RNA (333 nucleotides) under Salvia miltiorrhiza (redroot sage). RNAcentral describes it as "long non-coding RNA (SMIL_LNC009974)". The record is from RNAcentral. Lineage: Eukaryota; Viridiplantae; Streptophyta; Magnoliopsida; Lamiales; Lamiaceae.